UGUUUUUUACUUCAAAGCCUUCGGGCGUUAUAGGAUGAGUUUGCGGCGGAUUAGGCUGUUGGUGAGGUAAUGGCUCACCAAACCUGUGAUCCGUACGGGCUGUGAGAGCAGUAGCCCGGAGAAUGGUACUGAGACAAGGACCAUAGCCCUACGGGGUGCAGCAGGCGCGAAACCUCUGCAAUGCACGAAAGUGUGACAGGGGAACUCCAAGUGACUACUCUGUAGUCUUUUCUUAAGUUUAAAACGCUUGGGGAAUAAGGGCUGGGCAAGACCCGUGCCAGCCGCCGCGGUAACACGGGCAGCUCAAGUGGUGUUCACGAAUAUUGGGCUUAAAGCGUUCGUAGCCGGUUUUGUAAGUUUUUGGUGAAAGCCUAUGACUUAAUCAUGGGAAAUGCCAAAGAUACUGCGAGACUUGGGGCCGGGAGGGGUCGGAGGAAUUCUAAGGGUAGGAGUAAAAUCCUGUAAUCCUUAGAGGACCACCGGUGGCGAAGGCGUCCGACUGGAACGGGCCCGACGGUGAGGAACGAAAGCUAGGGGAGCAACCCGGAUUAGAUACCCGGUUAGUCCUAGCCGUAAAUGAUGUUGGUUUGGUGUAGCAUAACUCACGAGGUUGUGCUGUGCCGGAGGGAAACCGUUAAACCAACCGCCUGGGAAGUACGGUCGCAAGGCUGAAACUUAAAGGAAUUGGCGGGGGAGUACUACAAGGGGUGGAGGCUGCGGUUUAAUCGGAUACAACGCCGCACAACUCACCAGAAACGACAGCAGUAUGAUAGUCAGUCCGAAGGGCUUACUUGACGCGCUGAGAACUGGUGCAUGGCCACCGCCAGCUCGUGCCGUGAGGUGUCCUGUUAAGUCAGGCAACGAGCGAGAUCCGCACUUCCAGUUGCAAAUUGUUUUCUACGGAAGGCAGUGCACUCUGGAGGGACUGCCGUGGAUAACACGGAGGAAGGUGCGGGCGACGGUAGGUCCGUAUGCCGUGAAUUUUCUGGGCUACACGCGGCCUACAAUGGCAAGGACAAUAGGAUGCAACCCCGAAAGGGGAAGCCAAACCCUUAAACCUUGUCUAAGUCUGGAUCGAGGGUUGGGACUCACCCUCGUGAAAAUGGAAUCCCUAGUAAUCGCGUGUCAUUAUCGCGCGAUGAAUACGUCCCUUCUCCUUGCACACACCGCCCGUCAAACCAUCCGAGUAGGGUCUGGACGAGGCGUGAUCCUUUGGGUUGCGUCGAAUCUGGGCUUUGUGAGGAGGGUUAAGUCGUAACAAGGUA
This 1265-nucleotide ribosomal RNA is filed under the name metagenome. RNAcentral describes it as "bacterial SSU rRNA". It matches the Rfam family "Archaeal small subunit ribosomal RNA", at positions 176 to 1445 of the family's 1478-position model. The record is from RNAcentral.